UACAGAGACUGCAAGCGUUAUUCGGAUUCACUGGGCGUAAGGGGUGCGCAGGCGGCCGUGUGUGUAAGGUGUGAAAUCCCGAGGCUCAACCUCGGAACUGCGCCUUAAACUACAUGGCUAGAGUAUUGGAGAGGGUAACGGAAUUCACGGUGGAGCAGUGAAAUGCGUAGAGAGCGUGAGGAACAACAGAGGCGAAGGCGGUUACCUGGACAAUUACUGACGCUCAGGCACGAAAGCAUGGGGAGCAAAAGGG
This 253-nucleotide ribosomal RNA is filed under the name uncultured bacterium. RNAcentral's name for it is "partial 16S ribosomal RNA". It matches the Rfam family "Bacterial small subunit ribosomal RNA", at positions 524 to 776 of the family's 1533-position model. The record is from RNAcentral.